GUCUGCAUGGAAUAAAAUAUGCAGUCUGGCCUGCCCCCUGAAGUUUUAAAGGGCCGCGGUAUCUGAACCGUGCUAAGGUAGCAUAAUAAACAGUCUCUUAAUUGGGGUCUAGUAUGAACGGUCGGACGUGGGGUAAACUGUUUCAACUUUAAAUAUUGAAUUUUACUUUUAAGUAAAAAGGCUUAAAUAAAAUGGUGGGACGAUAAGACCCUAUAAAGCUUCACACUCAAUUUAUUAGUUGAAGGAUUUAAAGUAUCUUGUUCUUAUUAAAAAGAGUGUUUCAUUGGGGCGAUGAAAAUAUAAAAUGAUAACUGUUUAUAUAUAAAAAUAUACUUUUAUAGGCGAGUUGAUCCUUUCUAGAGAUUAAAAGAUUUAAGUUACUUUAGGGAUAACAGCGUAAUUUUCCUUGAGAGUUCAUAUCGACAGGAGUAGUUGCGACCUCGAUGUUGAAUUAAAAUUUCACCAAGGUGUAGCAGUUUUGGUGGUGGGUCUGUUCGACCUUUAAAAUUUUACAUGAUUUGAGUUCAGACCGGCGUG
This 537-nucleotide ribosomal RNA is filed under the name Limnocaridina similis. RNAcentral's name for it is "partial 16S ribosomal RNA". It matches the Rfam family "Bacterial large subunit ribosomal RNA", at positions 1819 to 2623 of the family's 2925-position model. The record is from RNAcentral. Lineage: Eukaryota; Metazoa; Arthropoda; Malacostraca; Decapoda; Atyidae. RNAcentral also lists the same sequence under 1 other name.